AGCACACCAUUCUUUGUGCAUAUGAUUCCCAUCUCCAUAUGCUGAAGGAAAAAAACAAAAACAAACGCACAAAAACUUUUUAAACAGCACACUGCAUAACUCUGAGGCCAGGAGACAUUGUGCUGAAGAUCUCAGAUUCUAGCCCUUGUGAAUAGUUGUUCUGACAUGUGAAGAGUUGUUCUUAAAGUAGCCUAAGUGGCGACUUGGCAAAUUUUGGAGAGCUCUUCAGAGCCAUUCCAGCUCUGUGCAUUAGCAUCCUCCUGAGCAAAAAACACUGGGAAGAAACUGAAAGAGUGCAGGACUGGAGAGUAAGACAGGAAAUACCUGCAGGCUCCUCCCCUUCCUGUCUGGACAUCACAACAAGGGACACUGGGACCUUCGUCCAAGGAGCAGCGCUGCACUGGCGAUAUCCAAAACAGCUCCUUGUCAUCAAUCGACCCCCUCUUUUCCCGAGUGACACCGGCGAGGAGAUGAAAUGUUAGAAACAUGCAGCAAGAGAGAACAUACCAUCAGAGAAUAUCCGAGGGGACCAGAAGCCGAUGUUGGAGAAGAACUAUCCACCGGUAUCGGGUUAGUUUCCUUCUUUAUUACUUAAACCUUUCACGUGCCGAAGAAAACAAUCCUGACUGAGAAAUGAGGCUGGAUAUGGGGGAAGGGAUGAGAGAAAGGGGGGCAUAUCCUGCUACUUCUGACGCUGGGUCAUGUGAAACCACAACCUUUACACACAGCAAGACGGGGUGUGCGUUGUGAGAGGCGGUCGGGGAACAUCGUACGGACAUCUGGAGCCACUGAGCAAAGCCAAAAUCGUCAAGGAAAAGCUUCUUUAUAAUACACAUACACGCACUCCUCUCUCCCUCGCUCAGUUCGUCGAGACCGAUUUUUCUGCGUUCACAAUGGAAGCCUUUUAAUUGAAAUGCCUUUGAACAUUUCUUUUUAUUAGCCCACGCUGCGGCGAGCGUAUAUCCAGAUUACCAUUUUCUUGUUCUCAAAUGUUGACAAUUAAAUGUCAAUGUUUAUAUUAUUUUGAAAGUUACCAUAAUACGUUCUAAAUAUAUUUCCAUAACAUAAAUUAAAAACAUUUUUAAACCCUGCAGCGUCUAGAACCAUUCAUCAGACAACUAGCUAAAUGUUUUGUUUUGACCAAACUGUCCGUAUUGGCUCAAUCGGAAAGGAUCAUCAUUCCCCACAGAAUCGAUUAACUGUACCCAAGGUGGCUUUGAUGACUUGUGUUUUUGUUAUGCUUUAAAAUCCAAAUGUACACAGAUUUCUUUGAAAAUGUGUUGAAAUAUUUCAAGUAGGCAAUUUCUACAUGUUACACAAAAAAUAUAUAUUUAUUCAGUGAAGCCAGACAGCUAGUCCUAAUUUUGACAUACUAAUUACAUAGCAAUUAUUUGAGGUAAUACUGAAAAGUGGUUGUAAAAAUAGCGAGACAGCAUAAUACAUACAUUUUUUUUUUAAUGACAAAGCUCCAAUGAACGAAAUGAGCAUGACCAACUUUGCAUGUAUAGUGGUGGACAAUUGGAGCAGUAUUGUUGCCUGAUGAAAAUAUUUUGUUUGUUAAGUGAUCCUAAAAACGCAUGAACCAACAAACAAACUUACAGCCUACCGCAGGGCACUGGAUUUAUGUUUGUGUUGAAAGAAAAUGCUUUAAAUUCUAAUCAGGGAGUAUAGGCCUAGUUGAUGAUGUCCUAGCCAUUGUCUUUACAUGUUUAUGCCAGAGACUUCUGCUGUGAGACUAGCUACAUUAAUUAGCAGGUUCAUCUCCUGCGUAAAACUGAAGUUGUCAUAUGAACUGUUAAUGUAGUCUAUGCUGUGUACAACAUUGGUUACUUAAGUGCAGUUAUUGGAAGUGUGGCAGAGAACACGCUUUUCUCUCGGAGUACAGACCUUUAUCUUGACUGGAAUAUCGAUAAAUGGAAGUUCCGCUGUCUAAGUUAAAUGUCUGCAGGUGAUUGCUGUGUUUUUGUCUGUAUUUUUUACUAAACGUUGCCCUUUCUGGCAGCUUCCUUGGUAAGCGGGCCUUCACCACAAGGCUCCCGUUGUUUUACAAAAAAAAAAAAGAGGAUUGGAAGGCUGACCGUUUGAACCCAGGAAACCCAGCAUGCACCAGGGCAGUUGGGAACGGAUGGGAAUGUCCAGGUUUGCAUGUUUCUGCUUGGCGGAGGGCAGAGGGGGUGGUUGAUUUUAGAAUCAAAAGGGGGGCUACUAAAUGUCAAACAACUCCCCAAACUGAGCAUGGACAAAAAAGCUUUGAGGGGAUGGGCUCAAAGUACAGUACAGCUGAAUAGCAAGACCAGAACUCCUGGAUUGUGUCUGCGGGGAGGACAGGUUGGGGGAGUAAUUACAAAGGUAGGGAAAUAAGUUUGCCUUAUAAGAAAAGUGAUGAUACCUUGUAUAAUCAAAGAGAUUUAUGGGCAG
Long non-coding RNA from Anguilla anguilla (European eel), 2418 nucleotides. RefSeq lists it as uncharacterized. The record is from RefSeq and is a predicted model, not a curated record. Lineage: Eukaryota; Metazoa; Chordata; Actinopteri; Anguilliformes; Anguillidae. The transcript has 2 exons.